This 78-nucleotide small RNA is filed under the name Flavobacterium aquatile LMG 4008 = ATCC 11947. Its description in RNAcentral is "Flavobacterium aquatile LMG 4008 Flavo-1 RNA". It matches the Rfam family "Flavo-1 RNA". The record is from Rfam by way of RNAcentral. Lineage: Bacteria; Pseudomonadati; Bacteroidota; Flavobacteriia; Flavobacteriales; Flavobacteriaceae.
UUUUAGCCCUGAUUACAGCGGUAUCUUUUUAUUUUUUUCUUUAAAAAAUAAAAAAUAUAGCGGAAAGCAGGAUUAUGG